GUCGGAGGGAACUGAGGAGGGCCGGUCCCAGCAGAGGAGAGAUGGCACCAGCACCUGAAGAAAAGACGGUUCCAGCCUCCAAAGGAAGAAAAAAAGAAGGGGAAGACUCCAUUCCUGGCCUCCCAAAAAAGAAAGGAAAAAAGAAGCAUCCAGGAGCCAACCUCCGAGGAAGGAAGAGAAGCCAAAGACCUUUGCAGAGGCCCAGUCUCUGACAUCGCCUGAAAGGAGCAUCAAAGGCCCUGGGACUGGUGUCUCAAAGAGCUGUUUUUGUUGGUAUAACCCAACAACUGACAAAGAGCUGUUAACACUGGGUGUCUCUGACACCGACUCUGAAGGAUCGUUAGUGGCCAGUGCUGUCCAGUAUUCCUGGUGACCAUCACAGUGGCGACCACCACUGAUGCUAUCUGGGUGAAAUAACUGGCCACUUGUGGAUACAUAGGAGAACCCAGAUUUUCCUUGGGGAACUAAGUCGACCUGACUUCAAGCCAGUGGUUCAGAUGGGGCAUCACAGCCACUGACCCAAGAGAAGGAGGUUGGGUCUGCUGAAAAAUGAAGCCAGUCUCAAGGUAAGCAGGCAAAGAAAAAAGUAUUUGAGUGAU
This is a long non-coding RNA of Talpa occidentalis (Iberian mole), 599 nucleotides long. RefSeq lists it as uncharacterized. NCBI's taxonomy places the organism in Eukaryota, Metazoa, Chordata, Mammalia, Eulipotyphla, Talpidae. The transcript has 3 exons. The record is from RefSeq and is a predicted model, not a curated record.